Oryzias melastigma (Indian medaka) is the source of this 2489-nucleotide long non-coding RNA. RefSeq lists it as uncharacterized. NCBI's taxonomy places the organism in Eukaryota, Metazoa, Chordata, Actinopteri, Beloniformes, Adrianichthyidae. The transcript is spliced from 2 exons. The record is from RefSeq and is a predicted model, not a curated record.
UGUACACACUGGCCGCAUGUGAUGCAUUCAAGAGCGUGCAAUUCCCGGUUUCAUGAAUGCGCAUGUUCAACCAGCACCAGAUAAGAACGGGCUUCUUCUUUUUUUACUGUUCUCUCCAGGUUUUCUCUUUCACAGCUCUACUCCCACAUGUGAAAGUCUUGAUGUCAUGUAAUUCCAGACAGACACAAACUGCAAUUAUUAAUUUAUCCUUCGUGAUCAUGUUUACAAUUUUUUGCCUGUUUUGAAGAACAGGUUACAAAAUACACAUUUGGGUAAAAGUAUAACACCUUUUUAGGGUUUUUGUUGUCUUAUUUUGGUUGUCUUGACCCAUUUACAGAAUGUUAAGCAAUGCUCGCCCACGAUGAAAAGAAUGCAUGAGAGAAUGUUAGAGAAAAUUCGUUUGGCUUGCAGGUUUUUUUUUUUUUUUACCUAUUUUGUUUUUGAGGCCACAGAGCUUCAGGACCAUGUACACCUUGAAAUGCACGACUUUGUGGCUUUCAGUCAAACAAACGCUCAUCCUGUUCACAGACGGUCUCACUCUGCAGCUAUCAGUGAACUGUUGUGUCUUUCAGCAAAUCCUUCACUUUUGUCUGAUUGACAGUAUUCAUUCAGGGGAACACAACUAUGCCUGGAGCUGCUUUUGGGCUGUUUUUUCUUCAGCUUUUAGUCUCCGUUAUCCAAGGGCUCCAGAAUGUCAAUGUCAUUCCUGGGUCAACAGUGGAAGCCGUCGUGGGGCAGAACGUCAGUUUGCCGUGUAUCUUAAAAGAAGAUCAUGACCUUAAAAUCAUUCUUUCUGAAUGGACAAAAAACGGAGCAACAAAGCUGGCGUUGUACAGUGUAGACCACGGACUGCACCUCUUUUGGACAAAUGUUACUGUCCAGAUUAAGAAAAGUAGCACAAACAAAAUACUGGGCACCUAUCAAUACCUCCAAAAUGUAAAGAAAUGGGAUAGUGGAAAUUAUAAUUGUAAGAUUGCAGGUUUUCCUUUAAGUUCUAAUAUAAGUGUAACAAGUCUAAUAGUCAAAGACAGACCUGGGCAUUAUACGACCCAUGAGCCAGAAAAGGCCCUUUGCUUACCUUUGACUGCUCCGCGUGAGGUAAAUGGAAAAUCUCCUGAAAAUAAAACACAUUUCCAACAAUUACAAGACAACAUUGAUCCCACUCCUCCAUAGAAUCCGCGCCACACUUAAAAGCCUGUUUAAAUUGCACAAGAGUUUUUGGAGGACAAAAUGUCUGCUCGGGGUAAAAAGCACAAGACAGAAAUCAAAUGCAAAGUUUUCAACAAAAUUGGACUGUUAAGUACUUUUUCACUUAUAUUGGAGGUAAAGCAGUGUGUUCAGUGUGCAAGGAGCAGAUCGCUGUAUUUAAGGAUUAUAUUUUGAGUCAACAUUACGAUAGGAAGCACGGCGAGACAAACAGAAACUUCCCCGAGACCGAAAUGGCGCGGACUGCAGAGACUUUGCUUGGUAAGAUACAAAAAUGAGGAUCUAGGACAUCUUGGAAAAUAUGGAACUUUAGCUAAAAAGUCAAGUGGCAAAAUUUGACUUUUUUUCUAUGGCUGUGGACGAGGGAUAACAGGGUUCAAGAUCACGGAGGAGAUGGCUGCAAUGUGCGGACUAAAGAGGGGACAAUGACCGGGAGCAAUCUGCUCACAGAGGUAAAUGCUUGCAUGGACGCACUGGGACAGAAAUGAGACACAUUGGUGGACCUCGCAAUGGCUGGCUGUCCAUAUAUUACUGGAAAAAUGUUGGACUUUUGAAACGUAUCUGAGACAAAGUGACAGAAAAAGGCACAUAUCUUUUUUUUAAAACUGUAAAUAAAAACAUGUAACAUAAGGGGAGGGUCCACUCAAGACUUUUCUUUUACCCUUUCCUUUUCAAGCACAUUGCUUUGUGUUAUACUUGUAAUAUAUAUAUAUGUAUAUAUAUAUAUAUACAUUUAUAUGUGGGUGUGUGUGUGUGUGUAUCAGCAUGAGCUUUACAAGUUAGUGCUUAAACUCAACCAUGUGUUUGAUAUUGUUACAAAAAUUGUAAACUUUAUUAGGGCAAGAUUGUGGGAAAAUUGUGAUGUCUAUUUAACACUGUUGUGAUUCAUAAAAAUAUCUAAAAGUUCAAUGUUUUCUUUAGCUUUUCUUUACUUGUGGAUAUUUGAUUAAUUUUUUUUUCAAAAACAAGGUAAUUGUUUCAUUUCUUAUUUAAAGCAAAUGGUCUUAACAGGUCGCAAAAACAAUACUAUUUGUUACUAUCUUAAAAUAAAGAAAUACAAUUGAUUUUACCAAAAACAAGCAGGAGAAACUCAUACUAAAGAAAGGGGAGUUUACCUCCAGCUGAAUGACAACAGGCUACAUCUGUGCUUCCUUCUCAAGGUCCACAUGGUGCUUUAAAGGCUUCCUUCACCACUCCUGAAACUGAAACUGAUCAGACACAGAUAGACACACAAAGAUCCACAAAAAUGCAGAGGUCCCACUCUGAAACAGGAAUAAAACACC